GUGUAUUUGGUAGGAAACAUGGUGUGUGGAAGGAAGGAUGGGUUUCAAAUUGGCAUUGAAAGCGAAAGGGAUUCUGCGAGAAUUAAAGAGAAGGUGUCGAGACAAGGAGAAAAUCAGGGAGUAUAAGGAAAGUUUGAGGAAAGUAAGUUAUACUAAAAAGAAGAGCGAGAGAGCAAGUGGGAGAAGAAGGGAAUAUAUGUUGAAGGGAAUCAAUCAAAGCUUUUUGGGUUGCAGUAAAAAGGAAGAUGAAUAUUAUGAAUAAAACCCAGAUGAAUUAAGUUCAGUAGGAUUCUUGUAGCUCCAGAGAUUUUCUUUGCUUUUUCUUUUUUUCUUUUUUGCGGGAAGAUGAGAGAGAGAGAGAGGUGGUAUGGUAGAGAGGGAGUGAGGGAGUAUGCUAUUUGAG
RNAcentral lists this long non-coding RNA (403 nucleotides) under Salvia miltiorrhiza (redroot sage). RNAcentral's name for it is "long non-coding RNA (SMIL_LNC007623)". Lineage: Eukaryota; Viridiplantae; Streptophyta; Magnoliopsida; Lamiales; Lamiaceae. The record is from RNAcentral.